RNAcentral lists this ribosomal RNA (492 nucleotides) under uncultured bacterium. RNAcentral describes it as "partial 16S ribosomal RNA". It matches the Rfam family "Bacterial small subunit ribosomal RNA", at positions 29 to 507 of the family's 1533-position model. The record is from RNAcentral.
AGUGAACGCUGGCGGUAGGCCUAACACAUGCAAGUCGAACGGCAGCACAGUAAGAGCUUGCUCUUACGGGUGGCGAGUGGCGGACGGGUGAGGAAUACAUCGGAAUCUACUUUUUCGUGGGGGAUAAUGUAGGGAAACUUACGCUAAUACCGCAUACGACCUACGGGUGAAAGCAGGGGAUCUUCGGACCUUGCGCGAUUGAUUGAGCCGAUGUCGGAUUAGCUAGUUGGCGGGGUAAAGGCCCACCAAGGCGACGAUCCGUAGCUGGUCUGAGAGGAUGAUCAGCCACACUGGAACUGAGACACGGUCCAGACUCCUACGGGAGGCGGCAGUGGGGAAUAUUGGACAAUGGGCGCAAGCCUGAUCCAGCCAUACCGCGUGGGUGAAGAAGGCCUUCGGGUUGUAAAGCCCUUUUGUUGGGAAAGAAAAGCAGCAGGUUAAUACCCCGCUGUUCUGACGGUACCCAAAGAAUAAGCACCGGCUAACUUCGUG